This 254-nucleotide ribosomal RNA is filed under the name uncultured bacterium. Its description in RNAcentral is "partial 16S ribosomal RNA". It matches the Rfam family "Bacterial small subunit ribosomal RNA", at positions 524 to 776 of the family's 1533-position model. The record is from RNAcentral.
UACAGAGGUCUCAAGCGUUGUUCGGAAUCACUGGGCGUAAAGGGUGCGUAGGCGGCGGGGAAAGUCAGAUGUGAAAUCCGGAGGCUCAACCUCCGAAUUGCAUCCGAUACUCCCCUCGCUAGAGAGUUGUAGAGGAGCUUGGAAUUCUCGGUGUAGCAGUGAAAUGCGUAGAUAUCGAGAGGAACGCUCGCAGCGAAGGCGAAGCUCUGGGCAAUUUCUGACGCUGAUGCACGAAGGCUAGGGGAGCAAACGGG